GUUGAGGGGAAUGUUGUCUGGCUCGAGGUCACGUAGGUGAUUUUGUAGAUUUUCCUAUAGUUUUUCUUUAGAGUUCUAUGGAAAGUUUGGAUUCAAUCCCUAAGUGACCUCGGACCAGGCUUCAUCCCCGUCAAC
This 135-nucleotide microRNA precursor is filed under the name Nelumbo nucifera (sacred lotus). Its description in RNAcentral is "mir-166 microRNA precursor family". It matches the Rfam family "mir-166 microRNA precursor family". Rfam says of the family: This family represents the plant microRNA (miRNA) precursor mir-166. Lineage: Eukaryota; Viridiplantae; Streptophyta; Magnoliopsida; Proteales; Nelumbonaceae. The record is from Rfam by way of RNAcentral.